GCGAGUGCUAUAAUGCAAGUCGAACGCGUUGGCCCAAUUGAUUGAUGGUGCUUGCACCUGAUUGAUUUUGGUCGCCAACGAGUGGCGGACGGGUGAGUAACACGUAGGUAACCUGCCCAGAAGCGGGGGACAACAUUUGGAAACAGAUGCUAAUACCGCAUAACAACGUUGUUCGCAUGAACAACGCUUAAAAGAUGGCUUCUCGCUAUCACUUCUGGAUGGACCUGCGGUGCAUUAGCUUGUUGGUGGGGUAACGGCCUACCAAGGCGAUGAUGCAUAGCCGAGUUGAGAGACUGAUCGGCCACAAUGGGACUGAGACACGGCCCAUACUCCUACGGGAGGCAGCAGUAGGGAAUCUUCCACAAUGGGCGCAAGCCUGAUGGAGCAACACCGCGUGAGUGAAGAAGGGUUUCGGCUCGUAAAGCUCUGUUGUUAAAGAAGAACACGUAUGAGAGUAACUGUUCAUACGUUGACGGUAUUUAACCAGAAAGUCACGGCUAACUACGUGCCAGCAGCCGCGGUAAUACGUAGGUGGCAAGCGUUAUCCGGAUUUAUUGGGCGUAAAGAGAGUGCAGGCGGUUUUCUAAGUCUGAUGUGAAAGCCUUCGGCUUAACCGGAGAAGUGCAUCGGAAACUGGAUAACUUGAGUGCAGAAGAGGGUAGUGGAACUCCAUGUGUAGCGGUGGAAUGCGUAGAUAUAUGGAAGAACACCAGUGGCGAAGGCGGCUACCUGGUCUGCAACUGACGCUGAGACUCGAAAGCAUGGGUAGCGAACAGGAUUAGAUACCCUGGUAGUCCAUGCCGUAAACGAGGAGUGCUAGGGGGUUGGAGGGUUUCCGCCCUUCAGUGCCGGAGCUAACGCAUUAAGCACUCCGCCUGGGGAGUACGACCGCAAGGUUGAAACUCAAAGGAAAUUGACGGGGGCCCGCACAAGCGGGGGGAGCAUGUGGUUUAAUUCGAAGCUACGCGAAGAACCUUACCAGGUCUUGACAUCUUGCGCCAACCUUAGAGAUAG
Molecule: ribosomal RNA, 1014 nt
Filed under: Limosilactobacillus fermentum
Lineage: Bacteria; Bacillati; Bacillota; Bacilli; Lactobacillales; Lactobacillaceae
Description: bacterial SSU rRNA
Rfam family: Bacterial small subunit ribosomal RNA
Source: RNAcentral